CCGCGUGAGGGAUGACGGCCUUCGGGUUGUAAACCUUCAGCAGGGAAGAAGCGAAAGUGACGGUACCUGCAGAAGAAGCACCGGCUAACUACGUGCCAGCAGCCGCGGUAAUACGUAGGGUGCAAGCGUUGUCCGGAAUUAUUGGGCGUAAAGAGCUCGUAGGCGGUUUGUCGCGUCUGCUGUGAAAACUCAGGGCUUAACCCUGAGCUUGCAGUGGGUACGGGCAGACUAGAGUGCGGUAGGGGAGACUGGAAUUCCUGGUGUAGCGGUGAAAUGCGCAGAUAUCAGGAGGAACACCGGUGGCGAAGGCGGGUCUCUGGGCCGUAACUGACGCUGAGGAGCGAAAGCAUGGGGAGCGAACAGGAUUAGAUACCCUGGUAGUCCAUGCCGUAAACGUUGGGCGCUAGGUGUGCUCAUUCCACGAGUUCUGUGCCGCAGCUAACGCAUUAAGCGCCCCGCCUGGG
Molecule: ribosomal RNA, 464 nt
Filed under: Kineosporia sp. 4UM2,2 33
Lineage: Bacteria; Bacillati; Actinomycetota; Actinomycetes; Kineosporiales; Kineosporiaceae
Description: bacterial SSU rRNA
Rfam family: Bacterial small subunit ribosomal RNA
Source: RNAcentral